Molecule: transfer RNA, 68 nt
Filed under: Sphaerodactylus sabanus
Lineage: Eukaryota; Metazoa; Chordata; Lepidosauria; Squamata; Sphaerodactylidae
Description: tRNA-Ser
Source: RNAcentral
GAGGGGGUAAGACGACACUAAUUGAACUGCUAAUUCAUAUUUCUGAGGUUAAAAUCCUCAGCCCCCUC